GAUGAACGCUGGCGGCGUGCCUAAUACAUGCAAGUCGAGCGAACGGACGAGACGCUUGCUUCUCUGAUGUUAGCGGCGGACGGGUGAGUAACACGUGGAUAACUUACCUAUAAGACUGGGAUAACUUCGGGACACCGGAGCUAGUAACGGAUAAUAUUUUGAACCUCAUGGUUCAAAAGUGAAAGACGGUAUUGCUGUAACUUAUAGAUGGAUCCGCGCUGCAUUAGCUAGUUGGUAAGGUAACGGCUUACCAAGGAAACGAUGCAUAGCCGACCUGAGAGGGUGUCCGGCCACACUGGAAUGGAGACACGGUCCAGACUCCUACGGGAGGCAGCAGAAGGGAAUCUCCCGCAUGGGGCGAAAGCCUGACGGAGCAACGCCGCGUGGUGGAUGAAGUUCUUCGGAUCUUAAAACUCUGUGAUUAGGGAAGAACAUAUGGGUAAGGAACUGUGCACAUCGUGACGGUACCUAAUCAGAAAGCCACGGCUAACUACGUG
Molecule: ribosomal RNA, 497 nt
Filed under: uncultured bacterium
Lineage: Bacteria
Description: partial 16S ribosomal RNA
Rfam family: Bacterial small subunit ribosomal RNA
Source: RNAcentral